CUUCAACAUCACGAUAGUGAAGGGUUGAAGGUAAAAGCCAGCAUGCAAUGAAGCAAGUCUCACUUGCCAUUUCUUUCUUUUUAGACUCUCUAAUUCUCAACUUCAUAUGCCAUUUUUGGUUGCUUUCAACUCUUUUUUUCUCUCCUCCUCCCUCGUAUUAUUUCAUAUAUAUACAUAUAACAUAUACGUAAUGGAGGAAUAGGAGUCUUGUUUGCCUUGUGUUCUGUUUCAUAGUUUUGCCUUGAAAUUUGUUCCCUAUAAAGAGAUGCUGUAUGCUCUGCAAUUGUUUUGGGAGCUUUUUGGGCGGGAGUUUUUUGGGGUUUUAACUACAGGUUUGUCUCUACAUUUCAUUGAUUUUCUCUGUCUCACAAUUAAAAAAGAGCUUGUUUUCUUCGAGUUUCUUGAUUGGAAUUUCACGUAUUUUUCAUAAAAUAAAUUCUCUGGGGUCUUUUCUUCUUCGUUUAUUUUGGAUUUUUCGUUAUUAAGAUACCUAUUUCUUGGGACUUAUUUUCUGGGUUUUUCAUUACAAUUCAAAAACACAAAUUUUGGGCCCUUUGUGCCUUACAAAAUUUUGGGCAUUUCUACUCGAGGAAAGAGAAGCCGAAAAACGAGGUUGGAAUUGUCCUUUUUUUUGUUUGUUUAGUCGUCUGAAAGUUUCAGAUUAUAGGAAGCAUUCCCUGGUUCAUGGGCUUCUUGGUUUGUUGUGGGGGUGGGGGUGGGGGUGGAGUGGAUUUGGGAUGGGUUAGGAAAGAAAAAGACCAAUUAUAUUUUUUGAUUUUAAUGUAAAGUUAUCAUUCUCUCCCUUUAAAAAUUGUUAAAAUAUGGUCAAAAUAAUUUUUUGGCAACAAUGAAAUUUUGGAUGAAAACCGUUCAAAAAGACACCAGAUGCAACGUUUGAAAAUGUUAUGGGUAAUAACUGCAACAAAUCUAAUGUUUGGAAAAAAUUUCGAAGGUUUUGGGCUUCUACUGCAAGUAUCCCUAAAGUAAAUGAGACGUUGUGUUGCAAGCGCUGAUUUGCAUCCUAAUUUACAAAUGAAUUAGAAUCUAAUCAUGCGGGGAGAUUUACCUUGAUUCUUUAUAGACUUCUAUGAAGGAUGCAGGGGUACUUCUCGCUUAUUCCUUCUAGACAAGUAUAUUUUCUUUCUUUAUUUUAUGUUGAAGUAUUUAACAGUGUUUACUCUAAAAGUAAAAUCUCACAUACAAAAGUUAAUCAAAUUUUUAUUAAGAGCUCAAAAUAUCAUACCUUUACAGCCUUACAUAUUUGAUGUUUUGCGUGCUGGGGCGUGUUUAAAAUGCUGCACAGAUCCUUUAUUCUUUGGAGUAGAAACGUCUUCAUCUAAAACAACGAAGGCAUAAAUGUUCAGAGGAAAAAGAGGACACGCUAAGCUAAUGUAAUUCAUUAUCUAAUACUUGCAACUUUUAGCAGUACUUGGGUUUUUGACAUAUCUUUACAUGUAUCUUUUCCCGUUAUAAUAUUCGUACCUUCACAUUUGAGCUAUUACCCUAUAAAUUGUAGAAUCCAUGAGUGCCAUUUUUAUUUUAACAUGUAAUUCUUUUCUUCUGGCUAAAAUAAGUAUGCUACACAAUUUCAAAUUCCAAUUAUAUAUAUUACGUCUUUCCUCUCUGAAUUGUGUCAUUAUCACAUGAUAUAGUCUUGAUCAAGAAAUUUGAUUCACAAGGAACCUAUCUAUUCAGAUUUAGAACCAUCAAGUGCAUGUGCAAUAUAAUAGUAGAGAAAUUCUCUCUCUCUCUCUCAAAUGGUGAAGUACAGUUUAUAAAUACUUUCAAAUUUGUGGUAACAGUAGAAACCUUUUACCCCCUUUUCAAUUCUUUCCUUUUCUUGAUUUGGGGAGUUUCUAAAUGGAUUAUCGAGCAGUGAUAUGCACUUCAGAAAACUGCCUAGAUUGUCCAUUUAUUUUUUCAUGCAUUAUUACAAAUUAUUAUUGUGUGUCUAGUAGAGGGAAGAGCUAAAGUAGAGGAAUGUAGAAACUCCAAAAGUUAUACCAACCAUCACAUGCCAAGUAAGAUAUCUAAUAUUAUUCUUUUGCCAUAGAUUUCUCUUUUCAAUUGAUAUAGUGCACAAUAUGAGAUGCUCCUGGUCUGCAUCUUAACUUUUAUAGAUUCCAUUAGUUGUUUCUCAAAGAGUGUUACAAAUAGCAUUAAAAAAUCCUGCACGUUGUGUGAAACUGAAAAGGCGGCCGAAUGGAGUUUUAUUUGACUCAAAAAAUGGGAAGAGUUACAUGGAGAAAUUAUUGAAGAAUCAUUUCCCAGAGCAUAAAGUGGUUCAUGAAGUCUCCGUGAGCUCAUCCCUCCUUAAACUACCAACACACGAUCAUAAUGAAUCUGGGGUUGAAGUGCUUGAUUUUGUACCCUUGAGUCCUAAUAUGGGGAGAAAAAGUAGUUCGUCAUCUUCAAACGCUAAUAAAAUUGUGCUGGAACCAUCCUUAUAUGAGUCAAUUGAAGUUUUUACAGAUGAUAGUCUCAUUCAGGUGCCAAAUCAAAUAAUAGUUUUGAAGUAGUUGACAUCUCAUGUGUUUUUGACCUCGUAACAAGUGAAAAGGAUAUAACAUUUUGAUGGAGAAAGCAAAGAAGAAGGUAACUUAAGUGGUUACCCUUCGGAUGAGAACUAUUAUGUGGAUGCUCAUUCGACCAUCGAGCCAGAUAUGGAUAAAGACUCCGAAUGUAGAGGCAAGAUGGACUUCACAUCCUCGAAUAUGAAGAAACAGCUGUCUAUUUCCAAUGCAGAUGAUGAGUAUCUUCAAACUCUUUCUUCAUAUUCUCAAUUGAUUGGACACUCCAGUCUACAAAUGCUGUACUGUCCACUUUCUUAUUUCUCGAUCAAAUUUUGUGGCUUGGUAGGAUAGGCAUAUAUAAGGUAUGGCUGGGACUUGAAAUUAAAAUUUUCUAUGAGACAUGAAUGAAUAAGAAUACACAAAAUGAUGUAUCCCAUAAAAUUUUGAAUAGUAACACCACAGUCUCUAUCUCUGGACAUUAGAAGAUUGGCAGCAGGAUGCGGAAUGGGAAUCUUUUCAUUUCUCAGCAUUUAGCAAUUUUUACACCUUUAAUUUCUUGUUUUUGUGUUUGGUUCUUUCGGUUUGUCCAGCUCUAUUGUUGAAUAUUUUAUUUCUUUCCAUAUCCCGUUCGAGGUUAUGCCUUUAACCCUUUUUCAGUGCAUUUAGUUCUUUCUGUUUCCUCGGCUUUGCUAUUGAGUGUUAAGCAUAUCUAAUUGAUUGCAAAAUUGUGUAAAAUAUUUGAAAUCUGUCAUUUAUUUUUCUAAAAAAAAUUUAAAAUAUCUUUGCUUAUAUUUACUAAUUCUGAAACUUUGUCUUUACAUUACAAAUGUACUUUAGAAUUUAAUUUUAUAUGUGUGGAGACUUGACAAUCUAAUUCUGAAAUUUUGUCUUAUGUGUGUUACUUCCUCCUUGCAGUACGAGGGAGGUGAAUAAAAAAGUUUUAAAAGUCCAUAAAGAAUGGUAAUUCUUUUUUCAAAUUUUUACUUUUUAUUUUUUUGGUUCUUUCAUAUUUUCCAAAUUUCUUAAAUGUCUUAUGGUUACUUUGGUAUUCAUGGGAAGAUUGUAACAUUCAAGUUGUCAAUUGCAAGCAGUUAAUUUGCAAAAUGGCUUUUCUGUUUUCGUACCUCUCUUUAACAACUUUUAACAUUUGGGAAUGCUAUCAAGUUUCUUUUCAUCAUUUUUGAGUAUGCGAGCUUUUCUUUAGCAUGUAAGAUAAGAGAUUAUCUUUCAAUUGAAGAGCAUCGUGUGGUUUUACGAGUCUCGAUAUUAUGAUUUGUAAUUUUAUUUUCCUUUUUGAGUUGGGCUUUCGUUUAACACGCACAAGAGCUGAAGUUGGAAAAUAAGAAUUUGAUGUUUUUGUUAUAUCUCUCGGCUUCCUGGCUUCCGUCAAAUUGUCAACCAAAGAUAUGUCUUCGCUCGCUCCCUUAAUAUUUGCAUACAUCAAAUAUAUUUGCAU
RNAcentral lists this long non-coding RNA (3969 nucleotides) under Olea europaea subsp. europaea. The record is from RNAcentral. Lineage: Eukaryota; Viridiplantae; Streptophyta; Magnoliopsida; Lamiales; Oleaceae.